This 1005-nucleotide long non-coding RNA is filed under the name Anser brachyrhynchus (Pink-footed goose). RNAcentral describes it as "lncRNA (ENSABRG00000010068.1)". The record is from RNAcentral. Lineage: Eukaryota; Metazoa; Chordata; Aves; Anseriformes; Anatidae.
GUUUGUGAUUCUUUAAGCAGGCAUUGUGCAAUCGUGUUUUACUAUGAAGAAUAUUUAGCUUCUAACAUGCUGAUGAGCCUGUAAUUAAGGAGGUCCAGUUCAUGUAUGCAGGUAUUUUGCAAUCUUGGUUUUCUGUUUACUAUGAAAAUAGUUGAAAUGAAAAUACGCUGAGGUAUUUGUGGUCAUAUUAUGGCUAUAUCCAUAUCCUUGUUUUUGCAGAUCCUUAAUGAGAAGAGAACCAGUGAAAGGGAAGCGAGAAGGUCACUCAGGUUUGGAGAAGGGUUGUAGCCCAAUGUGCCCUUGCAAACAGGUUUGGCUGCUGGGGCUCAGGGUCAGUGCAGCGAGAGCACAGCCGGGGCUGUUCCAAAGGAAACUGAGAACUCCAAAGAUGAAGAUUGUGAUAUGAAGGUCACCCUUCAUACUAAGGAUCUGCCGCAUUUCCAGUCUUCAGAGACCAGCUGCAGAACAGAAGCUCCAAGGAUAGACAGAUGGAAGUGUCUCUUAUGAAUCCUGGGUAACUACAUAGUUAUUACACUUUGGAUUCCCUUUGCUAUUUAUUACUAUUUCUUUGUUGAGCGUUCUGAACACAGUCUGUGUGAUUGACUCUACACUUAUUCUCUUACCUUUUUAUCCACCUAGCAACAGUCUGCUUUAUCACAAGAGAGAUUUCUUCCUGAUUUGGCCUUUUCACUUUCUUGAAGCCCAUAUCUUUGUGAAUAAGAAAACUUACAAAUGGCUGGGCUUUCAAGAGUUCGAUUCUUGUUUUCCAAAGGAGUGUUAGUCUUAAAAUAUUAAGAUUAGAUUAAGAAAUACCUGAGGACUGUAGAUUUCACAAGAUAUUGUGACAGAUUUUUUGUCUUCCAAGUCACUGUUUACUACAGAGCCUUUGCAGAAACCCAUUUUCUGGAAGAAGAAAAUGCAAGUAUUAUUUUCACAUUGUAGCACUGAUAUUGAGCUCUUAUCUUGUAAAAUAAAUGAUUAAGAAAGGCUGAGUAGGUAUAGCUU